GAUGGCUAUAUCACGUUGAAAUAACAGUUCUCUUAUGAUCACUGAUGUUAAACAACAUUGAGCAUGGUCAGUAUCUUGAUGGGUGACCACUUGAGAAUACCAGGUGCUGUAA
This is a non-coding RNA of Acanthosepion pharaonis, 112 nucleotides long. NCBI's taxonomy places the organism in Eukaryota, Metazoa, Mollusca, Cephalopoda, Sepiida, Sepiidae. The record is from the annotation of a GenBank genome assembly.